ACAGACCUGGCAGAUAUAGUACAGCGUUUUCAGCCGCUCCAGCGUUUGUAUGUGUACGCAGACAUUUCUUGACACAACGCCGUGAUUAUGAGAUUUUAAAAAGUAGGCUACCGUUUUCGAAAAAGACCGUAUUAGUUGUGUUGAUAAGUUAACUAUAGCACAUAAUCACUUGCUUGCUAAGAGACUGUCGCCACAGGCUUGUGUUGAAAUUACUUGAUAGUAAUGAAUGAACACGAUUGUAUUUUAUAUUCAUGUGCGGUUUUCAUGUCAUGAGGUUAAAUCAUCUUGACACCAUGAAUCUGACUUAUGUAUUGAUAACUCGUCAGCAACGCUAGUUUGUGCCUUGAGACAAUUUUAUUGCCAGACAGAUUAAGGACGACCCCACUCUGCAGAACGAGUCUACUCCUAUGAUACAACUGCUCAACUGCAGGCAUCAUCAGUUGAUGCUCCAGCUUAACCAGGUGUGAAGAGUUUAGCAGUGCACCAGCAGAGAGCGGAUGGCCUCUGAAUUGUUCCAGGCCCAGGCCAUGACCGGGGUGGCACAGUGGAACUACCAACGGCUGGUGGACCGUAAGGAGCCAGGUGUCAUCCUCCCUGCUGUGUUUGAUCCAGCUGUAAUGGCUGAGUUGAAGUCUGCCUCCAACAAUCCAUUGGCCAGCCGCUCUCUGCUGGUGCACUGCUAAAGCAGGAGAUGCCAACAGACGACCACCAGGAACCUCCAGCAGCAAUGGAACUCUCACAUGCCCUGCCCCUGCUGCUGAGGUCCUCGGCGAGGAGUGCCCGCACCCAAGACAGCUGGACGGGUUUUUUGUGUUGGACAAAACACGCUGGACGCCACCCAUGAAAGAUGCUAUUGACUGCAUGCUGCACAUGGUCCAUCGGUCUGCCACAGAUCCCAACAGCUUGCUGCACCCCUCGACCAGGUUGCACAUAUCCUGCUAUGUGAAGCACCUGGCAAAAUUCCUUAACACGUUCGUCUUUAAACACAAGCAAGGAAAAACUUCUGGAGACUCAGCAGCUGUGGCACUCUAUAACAGAGGGGAGUGAGACGGCUACUGUUCCUGUGGUCACUAUGGUGCCGGCUAUUGUCAAUUCACCUGCACCUCCCCUGUCCACACCUCUGACACAAGGCUCAAUUGAGAAAAUUGUGGAAGGCAUCUUUGAGAAGCAGCAGCACCAGCCAGAACAGAACAGAACAGAAGACAGACAAAGACCUGUCUUGCCUGUGGACAGCCCGUCUUGAUAUGAGACUGAUGAAGGAGCUAUUAUUGCUUUAUUGUGUUCCAGAAAUCUCACAUGCUCUGUCCCUGCUGUUGAGGUCCUCGCCAUGGCGAGAGUGCACAUUCACAUUUGUUGUACACACACGCACACAGUACUCCCUUGAUUACAGUCAUUUGGAGCACAGGGAUAUACGUCUAUGCUUGCCAUUUUCAUUUAGUCAUUGUGAAAAGGUAUAUUUAAAUGCUGGCCUUAAAUGUUCCAUAUCAUUUCUGAAAUGCUUAUCUUUCUGAUUACAAUCCACACGUUUACAUUUGUAUAAAGCGUGC
Clupea harengus (Atlantic herring) is the source of this 1547-nucleotide long non-coding RNA. The record is from Ensembl. NCBI's taxonomy places the organism in Eukaryota, Metazoa, Chordata, Actinopteri, Clupeiformes, Clupeidae.